GCGGGCGUCCUCAGAGGAUCGCGGGCGCACAGAGUACACGGUAGAGGGGCUGGCUUUCCCGCCAGAUAAGAGCGCCGGAACCGGCCAGGCGCAGGACGCCCGCGGCGCUUCCGCUCAACUCAGAGAGAGCUUUCUCCUGGCGACGGUCCCCUUCAGAGUCCUCUGAACAACCCCGCCCGGCCGCAUCCCUUGCAAACUUGUUCCCAGGAGUCCCUUUCUGCCCCGGCCGGGGAAGGCCCAGCUCAGCCCUGGCCUGAUGCCACAGCCGAGCUGACACUCAAGGCUCCCAGCUCCCCCAGCCCCGCUGAGCGGGAGGGGCCCGGGUGGGGGACAGAGCAAAGAUGCUCUGAAGAGGGGGAUGAACUCGACUUGCAGUAGACUCCAAGGGGACAAUAAGAGAAAGAAAACAGCUGUGCCUACCUACUCCAGAUCCUGGCACACAUUUCUCUGCAGAUGUGCUGUGUGACCCAGGACAAGAUGCUUUGCCCUCCAACCUGGUGAAAACGAAGAUGAUGCUCCCUUCAUCUUAGGCUGAAAUAGAACACCAACAGAGAUGUGGCGAGAUGAUGAUCAUCCUUCCAAAUUUUCUAUUAGACUGGGUUAGCUACAUUUAAAAAUAAGAACAAACCAAAAAUAAUCCUCAGAAAAGCUUCAUGAAGUUCAAAAGCGCCAUUGCUCAUGUUGCCUCCAAAGGGGCAAGAAUUUUGCCAUUGCCACCCCUGUAUUCCCCUCCUAAAACAGAACCUGGCAUAUAGU
Long non-coding RNA from Cercocebus atys (sooty mangabey), 756 nucleotides. RefSeq lists it as uncharacterized. The record is from RefSeq and is a predicted model, not a curated record. The transcript has 3 exons. NCBI's taxonomy places the organism in Eukaryota, Metazoa, Chordata, Mammalia, Primates, Cercopithecidae.